Molecule: transfer RNA, 76 nt
Filed under: Acidobacteriota bacterium
Lineage: Bacteria; Pseudomonadati; Acidobacteriota
Also listed under: 2 other names
Description: Acidobacteria bacterium tRNA-Met
Rfam family: tRNA
About the family: Transfer RNA (tRNA) molecules are approximately 80 nucleotides in length.
Source: RNAcentral
GGGUCCGUAGCUCAGCGGUAAGAGCCACCGGCUCAUAACCGGCGGGUCCUCGGUUCGAAUCCGAGCGGACCCACGA